This 261-nucleotide ribosomal RNA is filed under the name uncultured bacterium. Its description in RNAcentral is "partial 16S ribosomal RNA". It matches the Rfam family "Bacterial small subunit ribosomal RNA", at positions 524 to 784 of the family's 1533-position model. The record is from RNAcentral.
UACGUAGGGUGCAAGCGUUAAUCGGAAUUACUGGGCGUAAAGCGUGCGCAGGCGGUUUUGUAAGUCUGUCGUGAAAUCCCCGGGCUCAACCUGGGAAUUGCGAUGGAGACUGCAAGGCUAGAAUCUGGCAGAGGGGGUAGAAUUCCGCGUGUAGCAGUGAAAUGCGUAGAGAUGCGGAGGAACACCGAUGGCGAAGGCAGCCCCCCUGGGAUAACACUGACGCUCAUGCACGAAAGCGUGGGGAGCAAACAGGAUUAGAUA